Molecule: non-coding RNA, 217 nt
Organism: Pelobates cultripes (western spadefoot toad)
Lineage: Eukaryota; Metazoa; Chordata; Amphibia; Anura; Pelobatidae
Source: the annotation of a GenBank genome assembly
GGUCCCCCAGGUUUUAACGCUUCAGAUGUAAAUCUUUACAUAGCAGGGUUAAUCCAACCUCUAGUAGCUGUCUUCCUGACAGCCGCUAGAGGCUCUUCUUCGACGCUGGAUGCAAAAUUCGCAUCCAGCAUGCAGAACGUCCACAGGAAAGCAUUGUGAAAUGCUUAUGCAGGUCUUCCACCAGGUGGACACUCCCCUAGGGGACCUGGCAGAAAAC